AGAGUUUGAUCAAGAACAGAUUGAACGCUGGCGGCAUGCCUUACACAUGCAAGUCGAACGGCAGCAUGAUCUAGCUUGCUAGAUUGAUGGCGAGUGGCGAACGGGUGAGUAAUACAUCGGAACGUGCCCUGUAGUGGGGGAUAACUAGUCGAAAGAUUAGCUAAUACCGCAUACGACCUGAGGGUGAAAGUGGGGGACCGCAAGGCCUCAUGCUAUAGGAGCGGCCGAUGUCUGAUUAGCUAGUUGGUGGGGUAAAGGCCCACCAAGGCGACGAUCAGUAGCUGGUCUGAGAGGACGAUCAGCCACACUGGGACUGAGACACGGCCCAGACUCCUACGGGAGACAGCAGUGGGGAAUUUUGGACAAUGGGCGAAAGCCUGAUCCAGCAAUGCCGCGUGUGUGAAGAAGGCCUUCGGGUUGUAAAGCACUUUUGUCCGGAAAGAAAUGGCUCUGGUUAAUACCUGGGGUCGAUGACGGUACCGGAAGAAUAAGGACCGGCUAACUACGUGCCAGCAGCCGCGGUAAUACGUAGGGUCCAAGCGUUAAUCGGAAUUACUGGGCGUAAAGCGUGCGCAGGCGGUUGUGCAAGACCGAUGUGAAAUCCCCCGAGCUUAACUUGGGAAUUGCAUUGGUGACUGCACGGCUAGAGUGUGUCAGAGGGGGGUAGAAUUCCACGUGUAGCAGUGAAAUGCGUAGAGAUGUGGAGGAAUACCGAUGGCGAAGGCAGCCCCCUGGGAUAACACUGACGCUCAUGCACGAAAGCGUGGGGAGCAAACAGGAUUAGAUACCCUGGUAGUCCACGCCCUAAACGAUGUCAACUAGUUGUUGGGGAUUCAUUUCCUUAGUAACGUAGCUAACGCGUGAAGUUGACCGCCUGGGGAGUACGGUCGCAAGAUUAAAACUCAAAGGAAUUGACGGGGACCCGCACAAGCGGUGGAUGAUGUGGAUUAAUUCGAUGCAACGCGA
This 966-nucleotide ribosomal RNA is filed under the name uncultured Ralstonia sp. Its description in RNAcentral is "bacterial SSU rRNA". It matches the Rfam family "Bacterial small subunit ribosomal RNA", at positions 1 to 964 of the family's 1533-position model. Lineage: Bacteria; Pseudomonadati; Pseudomonadota; Betaproteobacteria; Burkholderiales; Burkholderiaceae. The record is from RNAcentral. RNAcentral also lists the same sequence under 1 other name.